CCUACGGGCGGCAGCAGUGAGGAAUAUUGGUCGAUGGGCGCGAGCCUGAACCAGCCAAGUCGCGUGAGGGAAGACGGCCCUACGGGUUGUAAACCUCUUUUGCCGGGGAGCAACGGGCGCCACGUGUGGCGCCACUGCGAGUACCCGGAGAAAAAGCAUCGGCUAACUCCGUGCCAGCAGCCGCGGUAAUCCGGGGGAUGCGAGCGUUCUCCGGAUUGAUUGGGUUUAAAGGGGGCGUAGGCGGAGCGUUAAGUCAGUGGUAAAAUUGAGGGGCUCAACCCCUUCCCGCCAUUGAAACUGGCGCUCUUGAGUGGAAGAGAAGUAUGCGGAAGGCGUGGUGUAGCGGUGAAAUGCAUAGAUAUCACGCAGAACCCCGAUUGCGAAGGCAGCAUGCCGGAUUCCUACUGACGCUGAAGCACGAAAGCGUGGGGAUCGAACAGGAUUAGAUACCCCAGUAGUC
Molecule: ribosomal RNA, 460 nt
Filed under: uncultured bacterium
Lineage: Bacteria
Description: partial 16S ribosomal RNA
Rfam family: Bacterial small subunit ribosomal RNA
Source: RNAcentral